AUUAUAAAGUUUUGAAAAUAAAGAAAAUUAACAACCCUAACAAUUAAGAGAGUGUUUGGUAUGACACGAAAAUCUUUUUCAAGACAAUAUUUCUCGGAAAAUAAGUGAUUUUUCUAGUAACUUUUUUGUGUUUGGUGCGCAAGUUGUAAAUGUCAUUUUAAGACCAUUUGCAUAUGUUGAGAAUAAUAAAGAAGGAGUCACUUAAGUAUAGAGGGCAAAACAGUCUUUGUAUAAGUUAGUUAAUGAGUCAUGUAAUUAGUUAUUAGCUUCACAUAAUUUGUUAAUUAGUUAGGAUAUUAUCUCUCCUCUUACUCAGUUGUAUAUAAGGGUAUAUCGCCCUCAUUUGUAAACUAACCGAUGAUAUACAAUCACCGAUGAUAUACAAUCUUUCUUUCUUCUUCUUCAAUAACUCUUUCGUUCUUCUUCAUUCUGAUAUGGAGUUUAUUCUUCUUUAAACUGUUUACUUCAUGGUAGCAGAGCAAUUUGAACUAGCAAUCCUGUUCAAAUCGCGAUUCUAAGUCUUCCGCUCAAGUUGUUAAUUGAUUAACAUCGGUUCAUAUUGUUCUUGGAAAAAUUUUGAAUUCUUGAAUUGUUGCCUACUAACUCACCUGCAAAAUGACGGGAAACCUAAACAAUGAAUUGAAAGCCAGUUCUGGGAAUCAAGAAACUGCAGAAUAUGCAUCUGGUUCUUCAAAGAACAAUGGAAAUCGAUUAUAAUCAUAUGUUGUUCCUCUCCCUUGCUGAUGUUAGCAGCAUUCAGAUCAUCUCAUUCCAAUUAACAGGUAUCGAAAACUAUGCAAUUUAGCACAAUUCCAUGAAAUUGCAUUGCUAGGUCGUAAUAAAUUGGGAAUUGUAGAUGUUCUGGGGCAAAAGAUAAGUUUCCUGCUUCUUUAUGGGAUAGAUGGGAGAGGGUAAAUGGAAUUGUAUUGUCAUGGGUUAUGAACGUAGUGUCAAGUAGUAUUCUUGGUGGUAUUAUGUAUGCAACGUGUGCACAAGUAGUGUGGAAUGAACUUCUUGAAAGGUUUACAAAGAUAGAUGGUUCUAAGUCAUAUAACUUGCACAAAGAAAUUGCUAUUUGUAGUCAAGGAACUGCAUCUGUGUCUACCUACUUUUCAAAAAUGAAGACUAUGUGGGAAGAAUUUGAAGCCAUUAUUCCUGCUCCUACUUGUGAUUUUCCAAAGUCCAAAGAUUGUGUUGCAUUUGCAGAAGUUGAAACUGCUUCAAUUUCUGAUGGGGUUGAAUGAGUCUUACAUGCAAGCUAGGAGUCAAAUCUUGCUAAUGAGCCCUUUACCCUCUAUUAACCAAGCAUAUUCCAUGAUUGUGAGUGAUGAGAGCCAAAAAUCAGUGGUUACUAAUCCAGGAAUUUUAGGUGCUAAUCCAGCUAUUGGACAAGGUUCUUAUGAAGGGGCUAUGUACACAAGAACUGGUGUUCAAGGAUUAGUGGAUACUGCUUGUAUUCAAGAAAUUGGGGUAACCGAAGUUUAAGAAAACUACAAUUUACAAUGUGAGUUCUGUAAAUUGAAAGGUCACACCAAGGAAAUAUGUUACAAGCUUGUAGGAUACCCAUCAGACUUUAAGUUCAAUAAGAAAAUGGGCCAGAGCAAUGGCUACAAUGGAAAUAAUGGUGGAAACAAUCCUGGAUAUAAUGGCAAUAACAGCACUACUUACGAUGUUUGGUCUGACAAUUCGACUCAUGGAAGUCACCUACAGCAUGGGUAAACUCAAGGUGUGGAUAAUCAAGCAUAUGCACAAGGCUCAGGACAUGUAGCAAGACCAAGCUUGAAUCAACUUAUUCACAAUCAAAAGGCUCAAUUAGAUGCUUGCAACACCCUUACUAAGGAUCAAUAUCAACAUGUACUGCAACUGUUGAACAAGAGUACAAAAUCUGCACAGUUGGCUAACACUGCAGGAUCUCUACACUGGAAGGUGAAGGGGAUUGGUAGACAAGAAGGAGGAUUAUACAUACUGCCAAGUCAUCAAGAUAGUAUUGAUUGUUCUUUGAUAGCAAAAAGCUUUAAUUAUGCAUCUGUUUCUAUUUCUAAGUCUGAUAUAGCUUUUGGCAUAUAAGAUAUGGACAUGUGUCCUCUACUGUUCUAAAGAAAAUACUGCAAGUAAGCAAUUAGGCUAUAAAUGAUAGUUUGAACAAAUGGACCAUUUGUCCAUGUGCAAAGCAAAUAAGACUGAGUUGUCCUAUUAGCAAUACGAAGAGUUCUUCUAUAUUUGAAUUAGUCCAUAUGGAUAUUUGGGGGCCUUACAAAGUGCCUACACAUGAUGGUUAUAAAUAUUUUUUAAUUGUA
This is a long non-coding RNA of Lycium ferocissimum, 2297 nucleotides long. RefSeq lists it as uncharacterized. NCBI's taxonomy places the organism in Eukaryota, Viridiplantae, Streptophyta, Magnoliopsida, Solanales, Solanaceae. The record is from RefSeq and is a predicted model, not a curated record. The transcript is spliced from 2 exons.